UCGCUCUGCUCGACUUUGCUGAUUGUCGGUGUCUUCGUGUUUGUCUCUGCAGACCAGAAAAUCAUCAAAGCUGAGCCUGGACAGAAGAACGUCACUCUUCCAUGUCGAGCUCCAAACAACAGCAGCAGCAUCACCGGUGUAGAGUGGACCAGAGCUGAGCUGGGAGAUGAAUAUGUGCUUUUGUACAGGGAUGACCAGCUUGAUCCAACCAACCAGCAUCCAUCUUUUAAGAACUGGGUGGAUCUGCAGGACAGACGGAUGAAGGAUGGAGACGUGUCUUUGAUUCUGAAGGAUGUGAUGAUUAAUGACACUGGAACAUACAAGUGUGAGGCCUUCAUUAGAGGAACAAAUGUGAGGAAGAGAGCUAAUCUAGUUGGUGAACCCAUCAGUAUCGUCACACUGAAAGUUGUUCCUCCAGGUGAGUGAGUAGAGUUGAGUGUGUGUGUGAUCAGAGGUGAAGCUGCUUCCUGGUUGUUGAUGUUUGUUUCUAAAGAUGUUGUUG
This is a long non-coding RNA of Oreochromis aureus, 502 nucleotides long. NCBI's taxonomy places the organism in Eukaryota, Metazoa, Chordata, Actinopteri, Cichliformes, Cichlidae. The record is from Ensembl.